RNAcentral lists this small nuclear RNA (154 nucleotides) under Zalophus californianus (California sea lion). RNAcentral's name for it is "U2 spliceosomal RNA (ENSZCAG00015002759.1)". It matches the Rfam family "U2 spliceosomal RNA". From Rfam's summary of the family: U2 is a small nuclear RNA (snRNA) component of the spliceosome (involved in pre-mRNA splicing). Complementary binding between U2 snRNA (in an area lying towards the 5' end but 3' to hairpin I) and the branchpoint sequence (BPS) of the intron results the bulging out of an unpaired adenosine, on the BPS, which initiates a nucleophilic attack at the intronic 5' splice site, thus starting the first of two transesterification reactions that mediate splicing. The record is from RNAcentral. Lineage: Eukaryota; Metazoa; Chordata; Mammalia; Carnivora; Otariidae. RNAcentral also lists the same sequence under 1 other name.
AUCGCUUCUCGGCCUUUUGGCUAAGAUCAAGUGUAGACAGUAAUAUAAAUCCACAAACAAAUAAACAAAGAAUUCUAGCAAAGGUAAUUUACUUUUAGGUAAGUAAUGAUAAAAGAUGGAAUAAUUACACAUUAGUUUUUCCAUUUUCCUUCAU